This 383-nucleotide ribosomal RNA is filed under the name Dilabifilum sp. Its description in RNAcentral is "partial small subunit ribosomal RNA". It matches the Rfam family "Eukaryotic small subunit ribosomal RNA", at positions 582 to 975 of the family's 1831-position model. The record is from RNAcentral. Lineage: Eukaryota; Viridiplantae; Chlorophyta; Chlorophyceae; Chaetophorales; Chaetophoraceae.
AUUCCAGCUCCAAUAGCGUAUAUUUAAGUUGUUGCAGUUAAAAAGCUCGUAGUUGGAUUUCGGGUGGGCUGCGCCGGUCUCCUAACGGUUGUACUGGCGACGCCUGCCUUGCUGCCGGGGACGGGCUCCUGCCUUUACUGUCGGGACCCGGAAUCGGCGACGUUACUUUGAGUAAAUUAGAGUGUUCAAAGCAAGCCUACGCUCUGAAUAUAAUAGCAUGGGAUAACACGACAGGACUCUGGCCUAUCGUGUUGGUCUGUAGGACCAGAGUAAUGAUUAAGAGGGACAGUCGGGGGCACUCGUGUUCCGUUGUCAGAGGUGAAAUUCUUGGAUUUACGGAAGACGAACAUCUGCGAAAGCAUUUGCCAAGGAUGUUUUCAUCG